Molecule: ribosomal RNA, 497 nt
Filed under: uncultured bacterium
Lineage: Bacteria
Description: partial 16S ribosomal RNA
Rfam family: Bacterial small subunit ribosomal RNA
Source: RNAcentral
GAUGAACGCUGGCGGCGUGCCUAAUACAUGCAAGUCGAGCGAACAGACGAGGAGCUUGCUCCUCUGACGUUAGCGGCGGACGGGUGAGUAACACGUGGAUAACCUACCUAUAAGACUGGGAUAACUUCGGGAAACCGGAGCUAAUACCGGAUAAUCUAUUGAACCGCAUGGUUCAAUAGUGAAAGACGGUUUUGCUGUCACUUAUAGAUGGAUCCGCGCCGCAUUAGCUAGUUGGUAAGGUAACGGCUUACCAAGGCGACGAUGCGUAGCCGACCUGAGAGGGUGAUCGGCCACACUGGAACUUAGACACGGUCCAGACUCCUACGGGAGGCAGCAGUAGGGAAUCUUCCGCAAUGGGCGAAAGCCUGACGGAGCAACGCCGCGUGAGUGAUGAAGGUCUUCGGAUCGUAAAACUCUGUUAUUAGGGAAGAACAAAUGUGUAAGUAACUAUGCACGUCUUGACGGUACCUAAUCAGAAAGCCACGGCUAACUACGUG